AUGAGUUGGUGGGCGGAGGCAUAAUUGCCAGGAAACUCCUCUCUCCGUUUUGUGCGCAGCGUCGUGAGACGCCAGCGGGAAACCGCUGUCAGGCAGCACAGAAACGAUACCCUCAUAUGUCAAAUGAUGAUGAUCCCUCUGGGUGAAGAGACAUAUGAAAGGGUUGAAACGGCUGCCUGAUGCGCGGAGAAAGGCUAAAUAGGGCCCAAUGAUUAGAGGGCCGGGUGAGCCGAUUAGAAGAAUUCCGCCUGAACAAAAAGAGGGUUACCACCAACUCAU
Molecule: RNase P RNA, 279 nt
Filed under: Candidatus Geothermarchaeota archaeon
Lineage: Archaea; Thermoproteati; Candidatus Geothermarchaeota
Description: RNase P RNA component
Rfam family: Archaeal RNase P
About the family: Ribonuclease P (RNase P) is a ubiquitous endoribonuclease, found in archaea, bacteria and eukarya as well as chloroplasts and mitochondria. Its best characterised activity is the generation of mature 5'-ends of tRNAs by cleaving the 5'-leader elements of precursor-tRNAs. Cellular RNase Ps are ribonucleoproteins.
Source: RNAcentral